This 1372-nucleotide ribosomal RNA is filed under the name uncultured bacterium. RNAcentral describes it as "bacterial SSU rRNA". It matches the Rfam family "Bacterial small subunit ribosomal RNA", at positions 28 to 1381 of the family's 1533-position model. The record is from RNAcentral.
GAUGAACGCUGGCGGCGUGCCUAAUACAUGCAAGUCGAGCGAACGGACGAGAAGCUUGCUUUUCUGAUGUUAGCGGCGGACGGGUGAGUAACACGUGGAUAACCUACCUAUAAGACUGGGAUAACUUCGGGAAACCGGAGCUAAUACCGGAUAAUAUUUUGAACCGCAUGGUUCAAAAGUGAAAGACGGUCUUGCUGUCACUUAUAGAUGGAUCCGCGCUGCAUUAGCUAGUUGGUAAGGUAACGGCUUACCAAGGCAACGAUGCAUAGCCGACCUGAGAGGGUGAUCGGCCACACUGGAACUGAGACACGGUCCAGACUCCUACGGGAGGCAGCAGUAGGGAAUCUUCCGCAAUGGGCGAAAGCCUGACGGAGCAACGCCGCGUGAGUGAUGAAGGUCUUCGGAUCGUAAAACUCUGUUAUUAGGGAAGAACAUAUGUGUAAGUAACUGUGCACAUCUUGACGGUACCUAAUCAGAAAGCCACGGCUAACUACGUGCCAGCAGCCGCGGUAAUACGUAGGUGGCAAGCGUUAUCCGGAAUUAUUGGGCGUAAAGCGCGCGUAGGCGGUUUUUUAAGUCUGAUGUGAAAGCCCACGGCUCAUUCGUGGAGGGUCAUUGGAAACUGGAAAACUUGAGUGCAGAAGAGGAAAGUGGAAUUCCAUGUGUAGCGGUGAAAUGCGCAGAGAUGUGGAGGAACACCAGUGGCGAAGGCGACUUUCUGGUCUGUAACUGACGCUGAUGUGCGAAAGCGUGGGGAUCAAACAGGAUUAGAUACCCUGGUAGUCCACGCCGUAAACGAUGAGUGCUAAGUGUUAGGGGGUUUCCGCCCCUUAGUGCUGCAGCUAACGCAUUAAGCACUCCGCCUGGGGAGUACGACCGCAAGGUUGAAACUCAAAGGAAUUGACGGGGGCCCGCACAAGCGGUGGAGCAUGUGGUUUAAUUCGAAGCAACGCGAAGAACCUUACCAAAUCUUGACAUCCUUUGACAACUCUAGAGAUAGAGCCUUCCCCUUCGGGGGACAAAGUGACAGGUGGUGCAUGGUUGUCGUCAGCUCGUGUCGUGAGAUGUUGGGUUAAGUCCCGCAACGAGCGCAACCCUUAAGCUUAGUUGCCAUCAUUAAGUUGGGCACUCUAAGUUGACUGCCGGUGACAAACCGGAGGAAGGUGGGGAUGACGUCAAAUCAUCAUGCCCCUUAUGAUUUGGGCUACACACGUGCUACAAUGGACAAUACAAAGGGCAGCGAAACCGCGAGGUCAAGCAAAUCCCAUAAAGUUGUUCUCAGUUCGGAUUGUAGUCUGCAACUCGACUACAUGAAGCUGGAAUCGCUAGUAAUCGUAGAUCAGCAUGCUACGGUGAAUACGUUCCCGGGUCU